CGCUAUACGGGGAGUACGCACGCAAGUGUGAAACGGACUCAAAGGAAUUGACGGGGGCCCGCACAAGCCGGUGGAGUAUGUGGUUAAUUCGAUGCAACGCGAAGAACCUUACCAGGGCUUGUGCAUGAUCCUGCGAAUCCCUUGGAAACGAGGGAGUGCCUUCGGAGCGCAGAGACAGGUGGUGCAUUUGACGUUGUCGUCAGC
Molecule: ribosomal RNA, 204 nt
Filed under: uncultured bacterium
Lineage: Bacteria
Description: partial 16S ribosomal RNA
Rfam family: Bacterial small subunit ribosomal RNA
Source: RNAcentral